GUCCUAGCAGUAAACGGUGUGCGCUUGGUGUGAGGGGAUUCGACCCCCCUUGUGCCGGAGCUAACGCGUUAAGCGCACCGCCUGGGAAGUACGGCCGCAAGGCUAAAACUCAAAGAAAUUGACGGGGACCCGCACAAGCGGUGGAGUAUGUGGCUUAAUUCGAUGCAACGCGAAGAACCUUACCAAGGCUUGACAUGGAUUUCUAAGCACGUGAAAGCGUGUGACCCUUCGGGGGACUUCCACAGGUGCUGCAUGGCCGUCGU
Molecule: ribosomal RNA, 263 nt
Filed under: uncultured bacterium
Lineage: Bacteria
Description: partial 16S ribosomal RNA
Rfam family: Bacterial small subunit ribosomal RNA
Source: RNAcentral